Olea europaea var. sylvestris is the source of this 729-nucleotide long non-coding RNA. RefSeq lists it as uncharacterized. The record is from RefSeq and is a predicted model, not a curated record. Lineage: Eukaryota; Viridiplantae; Streptophyta; Magnoliopsida; Lamiales; Oleaceae. The transcript is spliced from 2 exons.
GAAUUAAAAGAAGCCAAAUCCUAAACCUCAUUUCCAAAAAAUCCAAUAGAAAAAUAAUCAUUUACAUGUUACAACUUGCACAUCAAUUUCUCACUUUGACAUCAGCCACAAAUUAUCUCAUCCCCUCAUGAAUCCUAUUAUUUAUUUACUCAGAAGCUCAAUUCAUGAUUUUCAAAAUUUCCCAUUUCAUAGCUUAUACAUAAACAUUAAACCCCUAGUUUAAAUUCAAAUCAACAAUUGCUUAAUGCCUGUUUUCAAGCCUGUACAAAAUUAAAAAUUUGAACCAACAAAAUCACACUAAUCUUAAAUCAAUCUACAUCACCAAUAAUUGUUUAUUUCAUGUAUAGACAUAAUCAUACACGAAUUAACAAAGAAAAACCCGGAAGUCGUUGAUGAAUUCUUCCCCUUUGUCGACGUAGAAAUCGUUGAACUUUUCGAGUUCCUAAUUGAGAACCAGAUCCGCAGAGGCGACGUUUUGCAUCAUGAUCCGGCAGAUAAUUCAUGGCAGAAUCGCGGUGGCGAUAAUUAUUCCAUACAGAUUCCUUCACGGAUUACAGUUGACAUCAAUUUAUUGGAAGUUCCAAAAAAAGAAAAAGAAAAAUGAGAGAGAAUCAAGCAAAUGUUGCCAAAUCAGCUUCAGUAUAACACCUGUGAAGGAGAAGUCUCUUUUUCCAAAAGAAAAAAGUAUGUAAAUUGGAUACAUCCUCUUAUCAAGAUGGAGUAUGACGG